This 592-nucleotide ribosomal RNA is filed under the name Lophius budegassa (black-bellied angler). Its description in RNAcentral is "partial 16S ribosomal RNA". It matches the Rfam family "Bacterial large subunit ribosomal RNA", at positions 1807 to 2609 of the family's 2925-position model. The record is from RNAcentral. Lineage: Eukaryota; Metazoa; Chordata; Actinopteri; Lophiiformes; Lophiidae.
UCAAAAACAUCGCCUCUUGUACCUAAUAAAUAAGAGGUCCUGCCUGCCCUGUGACAAUUAGUUCAACGGCCGCGGUAUUUUGACCGUGCGAAGGUAGCGCAAUCACUUGUCUUUUAAAUGAAGACCUGUAUGAAUGGCAAAACGAGGGCUUAGCUGUCUCCUUCCCCCAGUCAAUGAAAUUGAUCUCCCCGUGAAGAAGCGGGGAUACUUACAUAAGACGAGAAGACCCUAUGGAGCUUUAGACACCAAGGCAGAUCACGUUAAAACCCCCGAAUAAGGGAAUAAACAAGAUGAAGACUGCCCUAUGUCUUUGGUUGGGGCGACCGCGGGGCAAAAAGUACCCCCCAUGUGGAAAGGGAACACCCUUCCUAUCACCCAGAGCUACCGCUCUAAUUAUCAGAACAUCUGACCAAAAGAUCCGGCUCAAGCCGAUCAACGGACCGAGUUACCCUAGGGAUAACAGCGCAAUCCCCUUCUAGAGACCCUAUCGACAAGGGAGUUUACGACCUCGAUGUUGGAUCAGGACAUCCUAAUGGUGCAGCCGCUAUUAAGGGUUCGUUUGUUCAACGAUUAAAGUCCUACGUGAUCUGAG